CGCAGCGAGAGGUGCUUGCACCUUUCAAGCGAGUGGCGAACGGGUGAGUAACACGUGGAUAACCUGCCUCAAGGCUGGGGAUAACAUUUGGAAACAGAUGCUAAUACCGAAUAAAACUUAGUAUCGCAUGAUAUCAAGUUAAAAGGCGCUACGGCGUCACCUAGAGAUGGAUCCGCGGUGCAUUAGUUAGUUGGUGGGGUAAAGGCUUACCAAGACAAUGAUGCAUAGCCGAGUUGAGAGACUGAUCGGCCACAUUGGGACUGAGACACGGCCCAAACUCCUACGGGAGGCUGCAGUAGGGAAUCUUCCACAAUGGGCGCAAGCCUGAUGGAGCAACGCCGCGUGUGUGAUGAAGGCUUUCGGGUCGUAAAGCACUGUUGUAUGGGAAGAAAUGCUAAAAUAGGGAAUGAUUUUAGUUUGACGGUACCAUACCAGAAAGGGACGGCUAAAUACGUGCCAGCAGCCGCGGUAAUACGUAUGUCCCGAGCGUUAUCCGGAUUUAUUGGGCGUAAAGCGAGCGCAGACGGUUGAUUAAGUCUGAUGUGAAAGCCCGGAGCUCAACUCCGGAAUGGCAUUGGAAACUGGUUAACUUGAGUGUUGUAGAGGUAAGUGGAACUCCAUGUGUAGCGGUGGAAUGCGUAGAUAUAUGGAAGAACACCAGUGGCGAAGGCGGCUUACUGGACAACAACUGACGUUGAGGCUCGAAAGUGUGGGUAGCAAACAGGAUUAGAUACCCUGGUAGUCCACACCGUAAACGAUGAAUACUAGGUGUUAGGAGGUUUCCGCCUCUUAGUGCCGAAGCUAACGCAUUAAGUAUUCCGCCUGGGGAGUACGACCGCAAGGUUGAAACUCAAAGGAAUUGACGGGGACCCGCACAAGCGGUGGAGCAUGUGGUUUAAUUCGAAGCAACGCGAAGAACCUUACCAGGUCUUGACAUCCUUUGAAGCUUUUAGAGAUAGAAGUGUUCUCUUCGGAGACAAAGUGACAGGUGGUGCAUGGUCGUCGUCAGCUCGUGUCGUGAGAUGUUGGGUUAAGUCCCGCAACGAGCGCAACCCUUAUUGUUAGUUGCCAGCAUUCAGUUGGGCACUCUAGCGAGACUGCCGGUGACAAACCGGAGGAAGGCGGGGACGACGUCAGAUCAUCAUGCCCCUUAUGACCUGGGCUACACACGUGCUACAAUGGCGUAUACAACGAGUUGCCAACCUGCGAAGGUGAGCUAAUCUCUUAAAGUACGUCUCAGUUCGGACUGCAGUCUGCAACUCGACUGCACGAAGUCGGAAUCGCUAGUAAUCGCGGAUCAGCACGCCGCGGUGAAUACGUUCCCGGGUCUUGUACACACCGCCCGUCACACCAUGGGAGUUUGUAAUGCCCAAAGCCGGUGGCCUAACCUCGGGAGGAGC
This 1400-nucleotide ribosomal RNA is filed under the name Leuconostoc citreum. RNAcentral describes it as "bacterial SSU rRNA". It matches the Rfam family "Bacterial small subunit ribosomal RNA". The record is from RNAcentral. Lineage: Bacteria; Bacillati; Bacillota; Bacilli; Lactobacillales; Lactobacillaceae.